GGGAUUGAGAUGUUUUUUUUUCUCGAUUUAUGCAUGUUAUCCUUGCAUGCGGGGUCGUGCUAAUUUUCUCUGUAUCAUUCCAAUUUAAGCCAAAGUGUAAGCCACUAGGUUUUGGAUUUUGAAUUCAUUAGGUAGAUUGGAUAGGAGUUUUUCAUUUAUCUGUGUUUCAAAGGUCUUGUGAGUCUGUAAGUUGUACUAUCCUAUUAU
Molecule: unclassified non-coding RNA, 207 nt
Filed under: Hevea brasiliensis (rubber tree)
Lineage: Eukaryota; Viridiplantae; Streptophyta; Magnoliopsida; Malpighiales; Euphorbiaceae
Source: RNAcentral